GAAGGUAUAGCUCAAGUGGUAGAGUGCAUGCUUAGCAUGCACAAGGUCCUGGGUUCAAUCCCCAGUACCUCCU
This is a transfer RNA of Camelus ferus (Wild Bactrian camel), 73 nucleotides long. It matches the Rfam family "tRNA". Rfam says of the family: Transfer RNA (tRNA) molecules are approximately 80 nucleotides in length. The record is from Rfam. Lineage: Eukaryota; Metazoa; Chordata; Mammalia; Artiodactyla; Camelidae.